RNAcentral lists this ribosomal RNA (1379 nucleotides) under Microbacterium sp. 38. Its description in RNAcentral is "bacterial SSU rRNA". It matches the Rfam family "Bacterial small subunit ribosomal RNA". The record is from RNAcentral. Lineage: Bacteria; Bacillati; Actinomycetota; Actinomycetes; Micrococcales; Microbacteriaceae.
UGCAGUCGAACGGUGAAGCCAAGCUUGCUUGGUGGAUCAGUGGCGAACGGGUGAGUAACACGUGAGCAACCUGCCCUGGACUCUGGGAUAAGCGCUGGAAACGGCGUCUAAUACUGGAUAUGAGACGUGAUCGCAUGGUCGUGUUUGGAAAGAUUUUUCGGUCUGGGAUGGGCUCGCGGCCUAUCAGCUUGUUGGUGAGGUAAUGGCUCACCAAGGCGUCGACGGGUAGCCGGCCUGAGAGGGUGACCGGCCACACUGGGACUGAGACACGGCCCAGACUCCUACGGGAGGCAGCAGUGGGGAAUAUUGCACAAUGGGCGGAAGCCUGAUGCAGCAACGCCGCGUGAGGGAUGACGGCCUUCGGGUUGUAAACCUCUUUUAGCAGGGAAGAAGCGAAAGUGACGGUACCUGCAGAAAAAGCGCCGGCUAACUACGUGCCAGCAGCCGCGGUAAUACGUAGGGCGCAAGCGUUAUCCGGAAUUAUUGGGCGUAAAGAGCUCGUAGGCGGUUUGUCGCGUCUGCUGUGAAAUCCCGAGGCUCAACCUCGGGCCUGCAGUGGGUACGGGCAGACUAGAGUGCGGUAGGGGAGAUUGGAAUUCCUGGUGUAGCGGUGGAAUGCGCAGAUAUCAGGAGGAACACCGAUGGCGAAGGCAGAUCUCUGGGCCGUAACUGACGCUGAGGAGCGAAAGGGUGGGGAGCAAACAGGCUUAGAUACCCUGGUAGUCCACCCCGUAAACGUUGGGAACUAGUUGUGGGGACCAUUCCACGGUUUCCGUGACGCAGCUAACGCAUUAAGUUCCCCGCCUGGGGAGUACGGCCGCAAGGCUAAAACUCAAAGGAAUUGACGGGGACCCGCACAAGCGGCGGAGCAUGCGGAUUAAUUCGAUGCAACGCGAAGAACCUUACCAAGGCUUGACAUAUACGAGAACGGGCCAGAAAUGGUCAACUCUUUGGACACUCGUAAACAGGUGGUGCAUGGUUGUCGUCAGCUCGUGUCGUGAGAUGUUGGGUUAAGUCCCGCAACGAGCGCAACCCUCGUUCUAUGUUGCCAGCACGUAAUGGUGGGAACUCAUGGGAUACUGCCGGGGUCAACUCGGAGGAAGGUGGGGAUGACGUCAAAUCAUCAUGCCCCUUAUGUCUUGGGCUUCACGCAUGCUACAAUGGCCGGUACAAAGGGCUGCAAUACCGUAAGGUGGAGCGAAUCCCAAAAAGCCGGUCCCAGUUCGGAUUGAGGUCUGCAACUCGACCUCAUGAAGUCGGAGUCGCUAGUAAUCGCAGAUCAGCAACGCUGCGGUGAAUACGUUCCCGGGUCUUGUACACACCGCCCGUCAAGUCAUGAAAGUCGGUAACACCUGAAGCCGGUGGCCCAACCCUUGUGG